UGAAAUGUAAAACUCAGGUCCAUUUGUCA
RNAcentral lists this non-coding RNA (29 nucleotides) under Rattus norvegicus (Norway rat). Lineage: Eukaryota; Metazoa; Chordata; Mammalia; Rodentia; Muridae. The record is from RNAcentral.